AAACUAUAAUCACAUAUCAGAAUGACUAUAAUGGAGUAUCACCAUUUGUUCUGGACUGAGACUCAGCAGCAUCGACUGCUUUGGCUUGUUCUCUAAACUUCUUGUAGAUAUCCCCUUUGUAAAACUUGAAUGUUCUGAUUACUAAAACCAAUGAAACAAUGAACCCCACAAAAGUAGAUGCUGCAAUUAUCAAGAAAGCCAACUUAUAACACUCAACUCCAGUGCAAGUCAAGUCUUCACCGCGUUUCCUAAUGAUCCCAUGAGCUGCCAAU
This 272-nucleotide unclassified non-coding RNA is filed under the name Hevea brasiliensis (rubber tree). Lineage: Eukaryota; Viridiplantae; Streptophyta; Magnoliopsida; Malpighiales; Euphorbiaceae. The record is from RNAcentral.